This 497-nucleotide ribosomal RNA is filed under the name uncultured bacterium. Its description in RNAcentral is "partial 16S ribosomal RNA". It matches the Rfam family "Bacterial small subunit ribosomal RNA", at positions 28 to 507 of the family's 1533-position model. The record is from RNAcentral.
GAUGAACGCUGGCGGCGUGCCUAAUACAUGCAAGUCGAGCGAACGGACGAGAAGCUUGCUUCUCUGAGGUUAGCGGCGGACGGGUGAGUAACACGUGGAUAACCUACCUAUAAGACUGGGAUAACUUCGGGAAACCGGAGCUAAUACCGGAUAAUAUCUUGAACCGCAUGGUUCAAAAGUGAAAGACGGUCUUGCUGUAACUUAUAGAUGGAUCCGCGCUGCAUUAGCUAGUUGGUAAGGUAACGGCUUACCAAGGCAACGAUGCAUAGCCGACCUGAGAGGGUGAUCGGCCACACUGGAACUGAGACACGGUCCAGACUCCUACGGGAGGCAGCAGUAGGGAAUCUUCCGCAAUGGGCGAAAGCCUGACGGAGCAACGCCGCGUGAGUGAUGAAGGUCUUCGGAUCGUAAAACUCUGUUAUUAGGGAAGAACAUAUGUGUAAGUAAAUGGGCACAUCUUGACGGUACCUAAUCAGAAAGCCACGGCUAACUACGUG